AACUAACGCUGGCGGCGUGCCUAACACAUGCAAGUCGUACGAGAAAGCCGGCUUCGGCUGGUGAGUAAAGUGGCGCACGGGUGAGUAACGCGUGGAUAAUCUGCCCUUAAGUGUGGAAUAACGUACCGAAAGGUGCGCUAAUACCGCAUAAUGCCUGGCAACACAAGUUGUCCGGCCAAAGAAGGCCUCUGUUUACAAGCUUUCGCUUCAGGAUGAGUCCGCGUACCAUUAGCUUGUUGGUGGGGUAAUGGCCUACCAAGGCUGCGAUGGUUAGCUGGUCUGAGAGGAUGAUCAGCCACACUGGAACUGAGACACGGUCCAGACUCCUACGGGAGGCAGCAGUGAGGAAUAUUGCGCAAUGGGGGAAACCCUGACGCAGCGACGCCGUGUGAGCGAUGAAGGCCUUCGGGUCGUAAAGCUCUGUCAGAGGGAAAGAAAGGGUCGGCGGAAUAAUACCCGCCGACAUUGACGGUACCCUCGGAGGAAGCACCGGCUAACUCCG
This 502-nucleotide ribosomal RNA is filed under the name uncultured bacterium. Its description in RNAcentral is "bacterial SSU rRNA". It matches the Rfam family "Bacterial small subunit ribosomal RNA", at positions 29 to 505 of the family's 1533-position model. The record is from RNAcentral.